RNAcentral lists this ribosomal RNA (698 nucleotides) under uncultured Pseudomonadales bacterium. Its description in RNAcentral is "bacterial SSU rRNA". It matches the Rfam family "Bacterial small subunit ribosomal RNA", at positions 41 to 733 of the family's 1533-position model. The record is from RNAcentral. Lineage: Bacteria; Pseudomonadati; Pseudomonadota; Gammaproteobacteria; Pseudomonadales.
GGCAGGCCUAACACAUGCAAGUCGAGCGGAUGAGAAGAGCUUGCUCUUCGAUUCAGCGGCGGACGGGUGAGUAAUGCCUAGGAAUCUGCCUGGUAGUGGGGGACAACGUUUCGAAAGGAACGCUAAUACCGCAUACGUCCUACGGGAGAAAGCAGGGGACCUUCGGGCCUUGCGCUAUCAGAUGAGCCUAGGUCGGAUUAGCUAGUUGGUGAGGUAAUGGCUCACCAAGGCGACCGAUCCGUAACUGGUCUGAGAGGAUGAUCAGUCACACUGGAACUGAGACACGGUCCAGACUCCUACGGGAGGCAGCAGUGGGGAAUAUUGGACGAUGGGCGAAAGCCUGAUCCAGCCAUGCCGCGUGUGUGAAGAAGGUCUUCGGAUUGUAAAGCACUUUAAGUUGGGAGGAAGGGCAUUAACCUAAUACGUUAGUGUUUUGACGUUACCGACAGAAUAAGCACCGGCUAACUCUGUGCCAGCAGCCGCGGUAAUACAGAGGGUGCAAGCGUUAAUCGGAAUUACUGGGCGUAAAGCGCGCGUAGGUGGUUUGUUAAGUUGGAUGUGAAAGCCCCGGGCUCAACCUGGGAACUGCAUCCAAAACUGGCAAGCUAGAGUACGGUAGAGGGUGGUGGAAUUUCCUGUGUAGCGGUGAAAUGCGUAGAUAUAGGAAGGAACACCAGUGGCGAAGGCGAUCACCUGGA